AAAGAGUGUCGCUUCAGGCUUGAAAUGUCUCCCACGCUUUUUCAACACUACAUCUGUCUGUUUUAAUUUGUAUAUUGUAACACCUUGUUGCUAAUGUGAUGACUUUUUACAGAUACCUGAUGCCAUCAACGUGUUUGUCGAAAUUCCUAUACUUGUGUGCCCAAGAGUUGUUCUGCUUCAGAGGAAAAAGUCUCAGCAUUAAGAUACAUUUCGAGGAAACUAUUUUGGUACGUCCAGAUAAAAUUUUGACAUUCAACAAGGUACCAUUGUUUUCUGAAAAUAAUCUUUGAAUCUCUUUUGUUUUCUCACAAGAUUGAGAUUAAAGAGCAAGGGGAUCGUGAAAUUACUUGAGAUUAAGAGGAAUCUACACUUUUCUAGAGAGUGAAGUAGCUUCAUCGAAAAUCAAUGUUGAAAUGAGUUCAUGGUUGCACUUGACACUUCUCUAAAAAGAUGUUGCCAUCUUUCUUUGUUUUCUUUUAAGAAAGUUACAUCGUAGUUCACAUAGGAAGUAGUUGAUAAUCAACUGAUGUUACUGAAAAAUAAAUUUGGGGAGCUGAGAAAACUAUAUAUUGCUACUUGAUGCAUCUACGAGUAGAUUUUUCGGGUCCUUUAUGUAUAUAAUUUAGCGGCUUAUGAUGCUCCAUUUUGAUAAUAUUAUCUAUCAUAUCCCGAAGAUUCACAUAAGAUAUUAUGACCAACAAUGAAUUGUUCGGACAUUCAAAUUAAUGGAACUCCAAGUUCCUUUGUCAUCAACUAUAAAAAGAAAGGGGAAAAAGUUUUAAAAUGUAUUAUGUGUGAUAUCUUUUUCAAUUAGUAAUUUUCAACAGAAAAAAGGGAAGAUAAAUCUUUAUAUGUUUGAGACUUCUGCUUUGAGUUGAUUUAUUUUUCCUCUGAGAUUUUUCAACUUCCAGGUGAUUUAUUGAGGAAGAAGUUGUGAAUUGUUUAAUGUUUCCAUGACAUUAAAGUUGAAAUUUCAGGUAAGUUUUCACUGUCAUCUUUCUGUUGUUUGUAUCACAUUUCAAGAAAAUGCAACCAUUAAUUUAGUAAUUUGAAGAAAAGUGACAAGAAAACACGUUGAAGUUGCAAAAUCAGAAUAACAACCAGGCCAAAUUAUACCGAAGGAUUGAUUUCACAUUCUCCAAUUUCCAAGCCUUCAAGUAUAAUUCCACAUUCUUUCAGAACCUUCAAAUUUAGGUUGAUUUUUGUUGAAAAAAAUUCAAUUCUCAAGUUUAUGUAUUGAUAAGGAACAGUGACUGAUUUUGGCGAAGUGUUUGUAUUGAGCAGUUGUACUUGGAUUGGAUAAAAGUUGCGAUUGUAAUAUCGGAACACAAAACUUAGAGAACACAUCACCUCUAAAUUAAGUUCUUGCAGUAAAUCGGAUAUUUAUCUGAAUUGAAUAUUAUUUAGGAUUUUUCAUAGGAUAGUUGGAAGCAAUAACUUAACAUCAUUAUUGUUAUCAUGCUCCUAAUAAUGAAAACAAUGGAAUUGAAAGGAUGAUCAUAUAAGUAUAAGAUGAACGAUGACCCUUAAGAUGUGAUCUUAGGUUACAACACAUUAUAUAAUGGAUAAAGUAGACUAUAUGCUUAUAUAAUAUCAUGAGAUAAGACUAAACUCUAUUUUAAAGUCCCUAUAAUGUCAAGCUUUUCCAUCUGAAUGUAAAUUUUUUUAAUGGAGGUAUAAUGAGUGAUUGUUUUAGGACCAUCAAAUUGGAUGCAAGUAGAAUUAUUUUUGUAGUCUAUUUCAGUAAAUUUAGAAUACAUUUUAAUUGCAUUACGUAAUCCUUGAAAUCUUUAAACUCAACUGUGACAUUCUUGCAAGGCUUUGGGCAUAGCUAUAUAUUUUCGAAUCUUUAAAGAUGAAAAUAGAGGGUCUAUGCGGUUGCAUACAACUUUGCUUGAGUAAGGCAUAGGGCAGAAUGAGCUGUAUUAUUUUCAGUAAGGUAAGAGAUGGACUCCUACUAGGAGGCAAAGUAUGCCUUAUAUUAUCUGGAGCAAACACCCUUUCAUCUCAUGUAGAAGCAUUUAUGCGAGUUGUAGCAUGUACUCAUAUUCUUCAAGGAUAUGGUCAUACUGAAACAUGUGUUGGUACAUUUGUGUCGCUACCCAACCAGUUUCAUAUACUCGGUACGGUUGGUCCUCCGGUGCCCAAUAUGAAUGUGUGCUUGGUGUAGCUGCGCUGUUCCUGAAAUGGAAUAUGAUGCUGUUUCAAGCACACCUAUGCGUGAGGGGAGACACUCUGUUUUGUUACUACAAGCGUGAAAGAAGUCACGAUUAAUGGAUGGUUGGUUCCAUACAGAGGAUAUUGGUGAGAGGCAACCAAAUGGUAGCUUGAAGAUAAUUGAUCGCAGGAAGAAUAUUUUGAAGCUAUAGCAAGGAGAAUAUGUUGCAGUCAAAAAUUUGGAGAAUGUAUUCCUGUUAUUGAUUCGGUAUGGAUAUAUGGGAGCAACUUUGAGUCUGCGGUUGUUAAUCCAAGUAAACAACAGGUUGAAAAAUGGGCCAAACAGAAUGGUCUUUCUGGGGAUUUUAAUUCCAAUUAAAAGGUGAAAGAGCACAUACUAGGGGAGCUUACUAAAGCUGGAAAAGAAAAGAAGUUGAAAGGGAUUUAAGUUCAUAAAGGCUCUACACCUUUAUCCAGUUCCAUUUAACAUGGAACGUGACACUAACAUUUAACAAGAAAAGAACACAAUUGUUUAAAUACUACAAGGAUGUGAUUGACACCAUGUACAAGGAUGCUAAAUGAACUUGCAAGGCUUGAAAUUAGCACCUUUUCUUUUUAACUACACCUCCCUCUUUUUUUGUUUUAGUACUGUACAUAUCACUCAAAUAAUAUGAGAUUGUUAUUAAUUAAAUUAUCUUUCUAUUUUUACUUGAAUUUAUCUAUUUACAAUCUAAUUAAAUAUUAUUUUUUUCUUAGGUAUGAGCGUAUUGAACUUUCAAAGGUAUAUUUCUUUGAACCUUUUUUAAUGUUUUAUUUUAUAAUUUUUACUUAACCAUCAUUUAUUUUAUAUAUAUAGAAAAAGAAUGUGAACGUCACUAAGGGUUUUGAUCCUCAAGUGCCAAAAAGUUCAAAAAGUCAUAAACCAAGGGUAUGUGAUGAUAAAUUAUUAUUAUUAUUAUUAUUAUUAUUAUUAUUAUUAUUAUUAUUAUUAUUAUUAUUAUUAUUAUUAUUAUUAUUAUUAUUAUUAUUAUUAUUAUUAUUAUUAUUAUUAUUAUUAUUAUUAUUAUUAUUAUUAUUAUUAUUAUUAUUAUUAUUAUUAUUAUUAUUAUUAUUAUUAUUAUUAUUAUUAUUAUUAUUAUUAUUAUUAUUAUUAUUAUUAUUAUUAUUAUUAUUAUUAUUAUUAUUAUUAUUAUUAUUAUUAUUAUUAUUAUUAUUAUUAUUAUUAUUAUUAUUAUUAUUAUUAUUAUUAUUAUUAUUAUUAUUAUUAUUAUUAUUAUUAUUAUUAUUAUUAUUAUUAUUAUUAUUAUUAUUAUUAUUAUUAUUAUUAUUAUUAUUAUUAUUAUUAUUAUUAUUAUUAUUAUUAUUAUUAUUAUUAUUAUUAUUAUUAUUAUUAUUAUUAUUAUUAUUAUUAUUAUUAUUAUUAUUAUUAUUAUUAUUAUUAUUAUUAUUAUUAUUAUUAUUAUUAUUAUUAUUAUUAUUAUUAUUAUUAUUAUUAUUAUUAUUAUUAUUAUUAUUAUUAUUAUUAUUAUUAUUAUUAUUAUUAUUAUUAUUAUUAUUAUUAUUAUUAUUAUUAUUAUUAUUAUUAUUAUUAUUAUUAUUAUUAUUAUUAUUAUUAUUAUUAUUAUUAUUAUUAUUAUUAUUAUUAUUAUUAUUAUUAUUAUUAUUAUUAUUAUUAUUAUUAUUAUUAUUAUUAUUAUUAUUAUUAUUAUUAUUAUUAUUAUUAUUAUUAUUAUUAUUAUUAUUAUUAUUAUUAUUAUUAUUAUUAUUAUUAUUAUUAUUAUUAUUAUUAUUAUUAUUAUUAUUAUUAUUAUUAUUAUUAUUAUUAUUAUUAUUAUUAUUAUUAUUAUUAUUAUUAUUAUUAUUAUUAUUGUUGUUGUUGUUGUUGUUGUUGUUGUUGUUAUUACUACGUAAAUAAAUGCAGGCUCGCUAUCCAUAUGGUAGAAUGCCAAUAAUGCAUUCUUGUUCUAAUGUAAGUGUAUAUUUUAUCCCUAAUUUAUUUUUUGUAUUUUAAAUGGGCUUAUAUUUAAAUAAAAUUAAUUUUCAAUAGAUUUGUAUAUAGUGUUUCUAAACUGAUACAAUUGUAUAUUAUUUUUAAUUUAAAUGAUAUUACUAUAGAGAGGAGUUGUUGAGCAAGAAAAUGGACAUGGAAAGAGGGAGCAUCCAUGGCUGACCAGGUAAUAUUCUUAUUUAUGAUAAAAAAAAUUGAAAAUAUUUCUUAAGAUUUAAAACCGAUUUAUUUAUUUUUUAAAACAAAUUUUCCAAAAAUAUAUUUGAACCUUACAUAAAUAUGUAUUUUUAGUAAUUAUUUGACAACUUGUGAAAUAAAAUGAAUUACAAAAGAAAAUAAUCGUGAAUUCAAUUUGUAAGACACUACAAUAAUGCAUUUGUGCAAAUACUAAUAAUAAUUAUUGAUUUCAAAUGUAGUCCUAAUCCUAUUAACAACUGAUUGUACCAUCCAAGCUUUGCUGCCAAAGGUCUAUCAGUGGACCCUUACUUGCGUAUGCUUAAGGAGAAUUCAGACUUUCGUAAGUUAACAAUUUUAAAUAUAAUUAUAAACCAAAUUAAAGAAUAUUGUUGUAUGGUUCUUAAUUAUAUUUAAUUUUUAUUCUUACCAGUUAAAAUUGCAAGCAAGUUUGAGGUUGAUAGUAAGAAUAAAGUGGUGAUGGAUUUGAACAAAUGAGGAAUAUUGUGUUGGUGCUAGACACUAUAUCUUAGUAGUGCAAAUUAUGUUAUUGAAUAAAUUCUCCAAGAAUAUUGUGGAACAUUCUGAAUGUUCUUGGUAUUAUUUUUUCAUUUAGUCAUUUAAGUUUCAUAGGUAGAGAAGUGUUGAACUUCUUUAUUCAAGUUUGGAUUUUGCACUUUCAAUUUGUUGUCAAUUUAAAAUAAUCUAAGCUGUAUUUCUAGGUAAAACUCUUCGUGUUUAAAUACAAACAUCAUAUUUCUUAUUUCAAACAUCCUUUGUUAUGAUUUACUUUA
Molecule: long non-coding RNA, 5133 nt
Filed under: Solanum tuberosum (potato)
Lineage: Eukaryota; Viridiplantae; Streptophyta; Magnoliopsida; Solanales; Solanaceae
Description: long non-coding RNA (STUB_LNC007435)
Source: RNAcentral